Molecule: ribosomal RNA, 468 nt
Filed under: uncultured bacterium
Lineage: Bacteria
Description: partial 16S ribosomal RNA
Rfam family: Bacterial small subunit ribosomal RNA
Source: RNAcentral
GACGAACGCUGGCGGCGUGCUUAACACAUGCAAGUCGAACGGAAAGGCCCUGCUUUUGUGGGGUGCUCGAGUGGCGAACGGGUGAGUAACACGUGAGUAACCUGCCCUUGACUUUGGGAUAACUUCAGGAAACUGGGGCUAAUACCGGAUAGGAGCUCCUGCUGCAUGGUGGGGGUUGGAAAGUUUCGGCGGUUGGGGAUGGAUUCGCGGCUUAUCAGCUUGUUGGUGGGGUAGUGGCUUACCAAGGCUUUGACGGGUAGCCGGCCUGAGAGGGUGACCGGCCACAUUGGGACUGAGAUACGGCCCAGACUGCUACGGGAGGCAGCAGUGGGGAAUAUUGCACAAUGGGCGGAAGCCUGAUGCAGCAACGCCGCGUGCGGGAUGACGGCCUUCGGGUUGUAAACCGCUUUCGCCUGUGACGAAGCGUGAGUGACGGUAAUGGGUAAAGAAGCACCGGCUAACUACGUG